RNAcentral lists this ribosomal RNA (648 nucleotides) under uncultured organism. RNAcentral describes it as "bacterial SSU rRNA". It matches the Rfam family "Bacterial small subunit ribosomal RNA", at positions 61 to 705 of the family's 1533-position model. The record is from RNAcentral.
GUCGAACGGUAAGUUAGUUGCUUGCAACUAACACGAGUGGCGCACGGGUGAGUAACGCGUACGCGACCUGCCCUCAGGAGGGAAAUAGCCCUGGGAAACCGGGAUUAAUGUCCCAUGUGAUUGUAUUUCUAAGGGAUAUAAUUAAAGGAGCGAUCCGCUUGAGGAUGGGCGUGCGUGCUAUUAGCUAGUUGGUGAGGUAAUGGCUCACCAAGGCGACGAUAGCUAGGGGGCGUGAGAGCGUGACCCCCCACACGGGUACUGAGACACGGACCCGACUCCUACGGGAGGCAGCAGUAAGGAAUAUUGGACAAUGGGGGCAACCCUGAUCCAGCCAUCCCGCGUGCAGGAAGACGGCCCUAUGGGUUGUAAACUGCUUUUAUUAGGGAAGAAUAGCAUCAAUGAAUUGGUGUAUGACGGUACCUAAAGAAUAAGCACCGGCUAACUCCGUGCCAGCAGCCGCGGUAAUACGGAGGGUGCAAGCGUUAUCCGGAAUCACUGGGUUUAAAGGGUGCGUAGGUGGAAUAAUAAGUCAGGCGUGAAAGGUUACAGCUUAACUGUAGACUUGCGUUUGAUACUGUGAUUCUUGAAUUAACGAUGAGGUUGGCAGAAUGCGACAUGUAGCGGUGAAAUGCAUAGAUAUGUCGUAGA